AAAAUCAUCUGCAGCCGAGAGACCCUCUCUUUUCCGACUCUCUUUCCCAAAUCUCGUUUCUCUUUUUUUUUUCUCUAGAUCUGCAGUUUCUCAACCUUUAGUCUCUUGUUGAUCUCUGUCUCUUACUCUUUAUGUUCCUGAUUCAUGCUGUUUGUUUGAAGCGAUCGACGAAGAACACCUGAAACCUAGAACACAGACUCCUCGUCAAACAUCAUCAUCAAUGGUUGACGAUUUUCAAGACUUGGGUGAUAUGGGGGUUUCCAAUUUUUAGCAAUUCGAGCUUUUUGAACUGAUUUGUUUAACUCACAGAUACGAGGAUGAACCAGUUGAGGAUGGUUAUGAAUGAGAUGAAGAGGAGGUUGAAAUUAACAAUCUUGCUGCUGGUGGGGAUGUGGUUGUAGAAGGUGAAGAGAAAGAAUAAGUUGAACCAGUUCAAGAGAUAGGAAGAUGUUUUAGUUUAUGGCUAAGUAUGAACAUCAUCAAUUCAUUGUGUGAUAGGUUAUGGGAUGUGAUUACAAGGAACUCUCCAUCACGAGAUCAUAUAACAACUUAUUACCGGGUCACGGACAUGUCACUAAAAGGGGUAUAAGUCUUUAUCUUCGUAUCUUUGAUCUAUUGAUUAAUUCUGUUAGUCUCAUUCUAUGUAUGAUAUACUAGAAUGAAUGAAGAUAUGAUGCAUGCUCCUUGAUGUACGUUUUAUAUGUUGUAAGUCUAAAAUCUCUAUAAUGUGAAGCUAAUGAAUCUUUAUAAUAAGAAGAGAGUUUGUAUCUAAUCCCGGAAAUGAUAUCAUUUGGGAUAAGCUCCUUCAAAUUGUCAACGUUUUCACGAGAAGAGUUUAGACACCAGGUUCAUUUCUUUCAGUCACCAGUUAACAAGCAAGAAGGAGAUCUGGUUUUGUUGUCGUAGCCGUCGAGACCAAGCAGUUGUGUUAUGGCUGCUCACCAUGGAGCAAGACUCCGGGAGGAAGAAGGAAGAUGGAGUGUAUCUGUUGGUGUUGAAACUGAAGAAACAGGGAGGAAGUAAACUAUGCUGCCAUACAAAUUUGAAGUGAAAGAGGAGAUCAAAGAAGGGAUAACUAGUCUGCAAAGGAUUAAGAUGAAUUGGGGUUUAUCUAUAUUUCAUAUCUGUAUGGAAAGAGAUGCAAUUGUCUUUGAAACCGACAACAUGCUCAUGUUUCCUUCAUCACCAAAAAAUGCACACUUGGUGCAUGUAGAAAUGCCUGAAAGACGUUUCUUCACAACUUAGAGUGGAUCGAGCGUAUGGUUUGUUGGCUCGAGUUCAGGGCUGGAUUGAUCUCGAUUUAGAGCUGAUUUUAGGUGUUGAACUGGAAUUGUAUGGGCAUCAGAAGUGGUUAAAUUUGUGGUGAUUUGGCUGAGUUCUGGCAGUAACAUAAAAAGAAGGAAUGAGUAGUUGUUGGACUGAGAUGCGCAUUAACAAGGAUUUUGGUUGAUGUUAGAAAUCAAAGAAGACAGAGAAGAACCUGAUGUUGUUGUUGCUAUAACUGAAGUGCCAUAGAACUGCAAAAUGGACGCAGCUGAAGCCAUAAGUAAAACACUUGUGGUACAAUGGCAAAGAUUUCCUCUAGUCAGGUAUCGAUGGGUCUCCUCUACAGGCAUAUAUAUUCAUGGGACCAAGAUACUACCAGAAGCUGACGCACAUGGCACAUUGUUCAGAAGAUCUUAAACUAAAAGUUGGUAAUGAUUCAGCGGUGCGACUUGGCUGGGCAUCUCUUUGGGUAAAUGUUCCUUACUCUCAUUUCUCAGUAUCACCUAUCUUACUCUCAGAGAUGAUAAUCUCCCACCCGUAGGGAAGAACAGAAAGAGAGGAAAACAAAAUUGCAGCAGAAAUCAAGAAGCUUCGAUUGAAAUAUUAAGAUCUUCACAAACUGCAUAUUUGAUGUGUUUCUUGCUGUCACCUACGUACUGUAUCAAUCAGUUGAAGAAGACACCUAAAGGAUGGGAGGUUCAGAAAUUGUUUAAGGGAAUUUGCUGGUAAAGCCCUAUGAUAAUUCGGUUUGGUUCAAGCUGUGGUUCUUCAUCUUAUACUUUUUAUCCUAUUCCAGAACCAUUACUUUAUCAUCAGUGGAAAUGCAUAAAUGCACAAGUUGAUUGACUGAUAUUGCACUUUGCAGGGGGUCCGUGGUACCAGUGAUUGGGUAAGUGAUACACUUAUUCAAGUCCCUAUUUUUUUAGAGUUUAAAGAAUAUCGCCGAGAUGAUCAGUUCAGUUCUGGAAACAGACUAGCUCAACUACUGAGCUUCACUCAUCAGAAGUCCCAACACUUACUCGAGUCUCAUUGGUCUCUAGUAUCUUUCAGGUUCUUCAUCAUCUUGGUCGUAUUUACAAGACGAGAAUUCAGCAUCCUCGUGUGACCAUCCUCUCAAAGCCACAAUAAUCUGCUGCAUUCUGAUUACUCACUGUAAGAGAUUGUAACAUUCUGUUUCUAUAUGGAAUCCUUAUAAGCUAAAACAAACAUAGUUGCACUAGCACAAUGUAAGAAACAAGAACAUUUUUACAUAUGCAAUUCAA
Papaver somniferum (opium poppy) is the source of this 2528-nucleotide long non-coding RNA. RefSeq lists it as uncharacterized. The record is from RefSeq and is a predicted model, not a curated record. NCBI's taxonomy places the organism in Eukaryota, Viridiplantae, Streptophyta, Magnoliopsida, Ranunculales, Papaveraceae. The transcript is spliced from 10 exons.